Molecule: ribosomal RNA, 1044 nt
Filed under: Triticum aestivum (bread wheat)
Lineage: Eukaryota; Viridiplantae; Streptophyta; Magnoliopsida; Poales; Poaceae
Description: partial small subunit ribosomal RNA
Source: RNAcentral
AUGGCUGCUGCUCCGGUGGUUGUGCCGCGCAUGAAGCUGGGCUCUCAGGAGCUGGAGGUCUCGGCGCAGGGCCUCGGCUGCAUGGGCAUGUCCGCGGUCUACGGCGAGCGCAAGCCCGAGCAGGACAUGAUCGCGCUCCUCCGCCACGCCGUCGCCGCCGGCGUCACCUUCCUCGACACCUCCGACAUCUACGGCCCCCACACCAACGAGCUCUUGCUCGGCAAGGCGCUGCAGGGAGGGGCGAGGGAGAAGGUCCAGUUGGCCACGAAAUUCGGCAUCACGCCGGCCCGGGAGGUUCGCGGCGACCCGGCGUACGUGCGGGCGGCGUGCGAGGGCAGCCUCGCUCGGCUCGGCGUCGACUGCAUCGACCUCUACUACCAGCACCGCAUCGACAAGAAUGUCCCCGUCGAGAUCACGAUGGGUGAGAUCAAGAAGCUAGUCCAAGAAGGAAAGGUGAAAUACGUCGGGUUGUCGGAGGCCUCGGCAGCGACAAUAAGAAGGGCACACGCAGUUCAUCCCAUCACCGCCGUUCAGCUGGAGUGGUCUCUAUGGUCAAGAGAUGUUGAAGAAGAUAUAAUCCCAACUUGCAGAGAACUUGGCAUUGGAAUUGUGGCGUACAGUCCACUAGGCAGAGGUUUUCUAUCUACUGGACCUAAACUGGUGGACACAUUACCAGAGGACGAUUUCCGCAAGAAUCUCCCAAGAUUUCAACCCGAGAACAUGGAGAAGAACGCGACGAUAUUCGAGCGUGUGAGCGAGAUGGCUGCAAGGAAGGGUUGCACGUCGUCGCAGCUCGCGCUGGCUUGGGUUCACCACCAGGGAAGCGAUGUCUGCCCCAUACCUGGCACAACCAAAGUUGAGAAUUUCAGCCAGAACGUGAGAGCAUUGUCUGUGCAGCUCACGGCUGAGGAGAUGGCUGAGCUGGAAUCCUAUGCCACCAUGGAUGCUGUCCAUGGUGAUCGGUACCACAGCGCGUAUCUGAUGAAUUUAAACACCUGGAAGGACUCCGAGACCCCUCCAGUGUCAUCCUGGAAAGCCACUUAG